CCUACGGGAGGCAGCAGCUAAGAAUCUUCCGCAAUGGGCGAAAGCCUGACGGAGCGACGCCGCGUGGACGAUGAAGGCCGCAAGGUUGUAAAGUCCUUUUCUCUGUGAAGAAUAAGCGGGGGAGGAAAUGCCCCUGUGAUGACGUUAGCAGAGGAAUAAGCCCCGGCUAAUUACGUGCCAGCAGCCGCGGUAAU
This 194-nucleotide ribosomal RNA is filed under the name uncultured bacterium. RNAcentral's name for it is "partial 16S ribosomal RNA". It matches the Rfam family "Bacterial small subunit ribosomal RNA", at positions 338 to 524 of the family's 1533-position model. The record is from RNAcentral.